GAUACUACGUACAUUUUUCGGAAUAUAGUUUUUAACUUCAGAAAUGUGAGAACAGAAUCGCUGUUUGAGAUUUAAUAAUCAUAUUUGUUUUAAAUGUGUAUAAAUCAUGUUAAAUAUUUGUGCAUGGAUGCUACCCAAUGAAUGCUAACUACCGUGCUGUUCUCUUGCAAUGUUUACUACAAGCGUUAAGUGCAUAUAUGAAUUGAGGUUGGCAUACCACUCUGACGAACGCGUUUCCCCAUGUUAAAUUGUCAGUGAAGUCGACUCAUAUGGUUCAGAUUGGCGUGACCUUGUAACGUACUAUGUUGGUAUCCAGACAGUUGUAGAAACGAGAAGCAGAGGUCAGUUCCACAAGUGGCGGAAGGAAACAAUAUGGCGCUGUGCUUUGUAGACAAGCGCACUGUCACAAAGAGGCUGCCACGACCAUGUCAGGGCAGUGGAGGUAGCAGGAAGGCGCCACUUGGGAAUGGGGUCCACGUGGCCGAUGAAACACACGUAGAGUGCGAACUCUAACACGCCUUGGAAUAAUAGCUGAAGCCAAAGGGGCGCAAUUCUUUGAAGCCGGGUCGCACGAACAUGCGGAAGCGGAAAUGUGUAACUCUCUAACAAAGAGGAUAUGUGGUGAUAUCAUUUGUCGUGCCCGUCGGUGCAUGUCAUUGACUGUAACGUAACGGUUAAUUGUUAUUGCUACUUCCUACUUGGGGAGAAUACAAUAUGUUUAAAGUUGUUUGAAAGGAAAAGAAAUCUUUGUUAAAUUACACCUCAGUGUAUUGUUUAAUAAGAUCAUAUUAUAUGUCCAUAUAUAGUCAUAUUCGAAAGUGAAUGAAAUGCGAAGCUACUUUUGUUAUUAGUUACCGACAAAGGUUUUUUAAUAUAUGCACUUUUAGACACGCGUUCACUUAGACACAAAAUAAUGUACUUUAUUCAUUCUAAACUAAAUGCUAGACUUUCAUCAAAUUUGUUUUCAAAAUGGGGUGGGGAGUAAAAUGUUUUACUUUUCAUUUUCACGACACUGGAGAUAUCGUACAUCGAGCAAUUUUUAUUUAUUUAUUUAUAUUUCAUAAUUUUGCCAAUAAGGAAAAAAACAAUGGCGGACCUCUAUACUCGGGGUGGACACGAAAGAAAAUUUUAAAUUUACUUUAUAAUGGCCUUAAUUAAGUUAAUAGUAUUCCAUUGCUCUACGAGAAAGUGUUAUUUCAUCAUUUGUUAUACUUGUUCUUAUAUAAAAUACUUUAACUGUGCGUGUUCUUAUUACGUGUAUCACACAUGUACAUACAUACAUGUGUAAUAUUUCGACAGAUGUUGACCAUAACGUAACGUCCGUUUACUCAUAUCCGCCUUGACUUGGGAACUGGCGUGAACGUGGAACCGGUACAUAUGUUUUAUAUUCAAUAAACAUUACAUAAAAAUGUUUCUUGUCAAAUAUAGAAUUUGUAACUUCUAAUGCUUUGUGGAUGGCCUUGUUUUCAUCCAAGAAAAAAAUAUAGAGAGCAAAACCUUUAAAGAUGGUGAUUGACUUUGGUGGCGUGUUUAUUUCCAAGCGAGUCCUAAGUACGUUGACUUAUGCACGCAGCACGGAUGUUUUUGUUUUAUUUUUCAUUUUUAUUUGUUUUGUUAGAUGGUAAUACAACUAGCUUAGAGCGUAAUAAAAUAUAUAU
RNAcentral lists this long non-coding RNA (1658 nucleotides) under Gigantopelta aegis. RNAcentral describes it as "uncharacterized LOC121367723". The record is from RNAcentral. Lineage: Eukaryota; Metazoa; Mollusca; Gastropoda; Neomphalida; Peltospiridae.